Molecule: long non-coding RNA, 432 nt
Filed under: Setaria viridis
Lineage: Eukaryota; Viridiplantae; Streptophyta; Magnoliopsida; Poales; Poaceae
Description: long non-coding RNA (SVIR_LNC000955)
Source: RNAcentral
AGAAACCAUAAACAGUGAAGAUGUCGCAGCCUGCUGAGCUUUCCCGUGAGGAAAACAUUUACAUGGCUAAGCUUGCAGAGCAGGCUGAGAGGUAUGAGGAGAUGGUUGAGUUCAUGGAGAAGGUGGCUAAGGCAGUUGAUUCUGAGGAGCUUACUGUGGAGGAGCGCAACCUUCUGUCAGUUGCUUACAAGAAUGUCAUUGGAGCCCGGCGUGCCUCAUGGCGCAUCAUAUCCUCCAUUGAGCAGAAAGAAGAGGGUCGUGGCAAUGAGGACCGUGUCACUCUUAUUAAGGACUACCGUAGCAAGAUAGAAGUUGAACUCACCAAGAUCUGUGAUGGAAUUCUCAAGCUCCUUGAUUCCCACCUUGUCCCCUCAUCCACAGCUCCAGAGUCCAAGGUCUUCUACCUCAAGAUGAAGGGUGACUACUACAGGU